GAUGAAUGCUGGCGGCGUGCCUAAUACAUGCAAGUCGAGCGAACGGACGAGAAGCUUGCUUCUCUGAUGUUAGCGGCGGACGGGUGAGUAACACGUGGAUAACCUACCUAUAAGACUGGGAUAACUUCGGGAAACCGGAGCUAAUACCGGAUAAUAUUUUGAACCGCAUGGUUCAAAAGUGAAAGACGGUCUUGCUGUCACUUAUAGAUGGAUCCGCGCUGCAUUAGCUAGUUGGUAAGGUAACGGCCUACCAAGGCAACGAUGCAUAGCCGACCUGAGAGGGUGAUCGGCCACACUGGAACUGAGACACGGUCCAGACUCCUACGGGAGGCAGCAGUAGGGAAUCUUCCGCAAUGGGCGAAAGCCUGACGGAGCAACGCCGCGUGAGUGAUGAAGGUCUUCGGAUCGUAAAACUCUGUUAUUAGGGAAGAACAUAUGUGUAAGUAACUGUGCACAUCUUGACGGUACCUAAUCAGAAAGCCACGGCUAACUACGUG
RNAcentral lists this ribosomal RNA (497 nucleotides) under uncultured bacterium. Its description in RNAcentral is "partial 16S ribosomal RNA". It matches the Rfam family "Bacterial small subunit ribosomal RNA", at positions 28 to 507 of the family's 1533-position model. The record is from RNAcentral.